This 1997-nucleotide long non-coding RNA is filed under the name Nicotiana tabacum (common tobacco). RNAcentral describes it as "long non-coding RNA (NTAB_LNC015186)". Lineage: Eukaryota; Viridiplantae; Streptophyta; Magnoliopsida; Solanales; Solanaceae. The record is from RNAcentral.
UUUAGUCUUCCAUUCUUCCAGUACUCUAUCUCUAAGUUCUAACGCCUAAUUCCUAAAUAAUCAGAACAUAAACCCUAACGCCUACUCCAUCUCGUCCUCUCGCCACCAUCUCCCUCUCCCUCUCCCCAUAGCUACCAUCUCCCUCUCGCCGACUCGCCAUAGCCAGAUCAGCAGUCAGCAGAUGGUAAGUUUCUUUUCUUGUUGAUGUCUUUAAAAUCAAAGAGCAUCUCAAAUUCUCAAUUCUCAUUAGAAUUCUUAGUGCCCUAGUAUGAAGAGUAAACUCAUAUUUUUUCUUUUUAAAAUUGUAAAUAUGGCUCCAGCACAGCCUUUGUGUCGAUUAUUAAUAUAUUGUUACCUUACUAAGAGAAAUGAACANNNNNNNNNNNNNNNNNNNNNNNNNCUUCCUUUGCAUCUAAACCCAGGCAAUCACAUAGUUAUCUCAAUGAAAUUUGAUAUCCUUGUAUGAUCUAUGUUAUAGCUAGCAAGAGUUACAGUGGCAUAUCCAUUAGAACUACUUUUUCCUUAAUUACAUCAUACCAUAGUUGCAAAUGACUAAUUUGUUAAACAACUCAUACAUGGCUUCUAUAAAUAUCUGUUAAGCAACUUGUUAUUCUCAUUACUUUGCAGUGACUCAUUAUUUUAAAUUUUUUCUUCAGAUUUAGCUAGCAAUGGAAAAGACCCUUCCUUAAUUGACGUGUAGUGUUAAUAUAUCUUGUAAGAACUCGAAUUUAACCCAUCAAGGCUUCAAGUGUUGAAUCUUACUGUUUUGUUGGGGUCUGAAUCUUAUUGUUUUGUUGUUAUAUCUGAAUGUUAUUAUUUGUUUGUUUACUGUAAAAGUUGGUUUUCAUAGGAAAGAGAAAAGUUAUUUUAUGAAUAACCAUUUGAAUUUCAAGGUUAUGUAUCACGAGGAUCUUGAGACGGGCACUGCUCGUGUUGUUGGUUUUGAGGUUAUUCCCCUCAAGUUUGAACAACUUUCAAGCUUUCACUACUUGAAUGAAAGUUGUCUUAAACCACUUCCCUUCUCUUUCUCAUUUUUCUUUGACCUCUUUUCUGUUGUUCUCUUUUGUGAAACGAUUAUUAGGCAUUCAUAAAUAGAAUUAGCUUUGCAUGCUUAGUGAUGUUUUCAGAAUGUGCAGUGGCAGUGUUCUCUUGUAACUGGUACAUCAGUUUAUUGUUGUUAUAGGACAUUCUGGUUUCGUGAUGCAGCAUUCAACUCUACGCUUCUGCUGGUUUAUCAUAAUUUCAUGGCCUGUUUAGCAGUUCUCAUAGUUUGUACUUGCUCAAGUUUGUGCACUUAUUUGAGAUAUAGAAGUGUUCAAGGUUUUCCAGUGUCUAAUUUGACUAUGUUUCCAUGUAAUUUGGAUCCAGACAUUCAGUAAGUAAUAACAAAAGUCCUAUAGAUUAAUUGGCCCUGAUCUUUCAUUGCAUUGGCAACCUUGCAUGAUAAAAUUUGAAAUGUGGAUUGGGGAUGCACUUAAUUCUGCAGUUUCUCUUAGAAAAUAGAAACGAGGAUAAAUCUGUUCGACUCUUCUUAUUGCCUCAAGACCGUAGUAUUUAUCAGUCUUUACUUCGUUGCCUAAUGCUGAAAUUUGGUGUAUGCAUAUUUUUUACAGGGAUCUGCUUACUUAUGGAUUAAGCUGUUGUUUGAACUUUGAAGCUGUAGAAAUUCAAGCACCGUUUGGCAUUAGCUGAAGGCCAAACAUUUCUGUGUAGUCUGCUCACUUAUGGAUUAAUCAUUUUGAAAUAUGUAUUCUGGACUCACUUUGAAUAUAGACUGAAAUUUCCUAUUCUUAAUUUGUAUGCUAGGUGUUAACAGACAUAUGUAUGUCUGGACUCAUAUGUAAUGUAGUCUGCUUUGGGAUGUAAUAUUGUAAUGAUAGGCGUUACAAACGUAUGUAUGUCUGGACUCAUAUGUUAACGCCUAUGAGUAGUGACGUUGAAGUUAUAUAAUAUAUUGUUGAUUUAAGGUAGUGAACUUUUCUUCCUGGGUAACAAAU